Molecule: ribosomal RNA, 497 nt
Filed under: uncultured bacterium
Lineage: Bacteria
Description: partial 16S ribosomal RNA
Rfam family: Bacterial small subunit ribosomal RNA
Source: RNAcentral
GAUGAACGCUGGCGGCGUGCCUAAUACAUGCAAGUCGAGCGAACGGACGAGAAGCUUGCUUUUCUGAUGUUAGCGGCGGACGGGUGAGUAAAACGUGGAUAACCUACCUAUAAGACUGGGAUAACUUCGGGAAACCGGAGCUAAUACCGGAUAAUAUUUUGAACCGCAUGGUUCAAAAGUGAAAGACGGUCUUGCUUUCACUUAUAGAUGGAUCCGCGCUGCAUUAGCUAGUUGGUAAGGUAACGGCUUACCAAGGCAACGAUGCAUAGCCGACCUGAGAGGGUGAUCGGCCACACUGGAACUGAGACACGGUCCAGACUCCUACGGGAGGCAGCAGUAGGGAAUCUUCCGCAAAGGGCGAAAGCCUGACGGAGCAACGCCGCGUGAGUGAUGAAGGUCUUCGGAUCGUAAAACUCUGUUAUUAGGGAAGAACAUAUGUGUAAGUAACUGUGCACAUCUUGACGGUACCUAAUCAGAAAGCCACGGCUAACUACGUG